AGAGUUUGAUCAUGGCUCAGAUUGAACGCUGGCGGCAUGCUUAAUACAUGCAAGUCGAACGGUAACAGGUCCUUCGGGAUGCUGACGAGUGGCGGACGGGUGAGUAAUGCAUAGGAAUCUGCCCAGUAGUAGGGGACAACCUGAGGAAACUCAGGCUAAUACCAUAUAAGUCCUACGGGAGAAAGGGGGCCUCUUCUUGAAAGCUCUCGCUAUUGGAUGAGCCUAUGUCGGAUUAGCUUGUUGGUGGGGUAACGGCCUACCAAGGCGACGAUCCGUAGCUGGUCUGAGAGGACGAUCAGCCACACUGGGACUGAGACACGGCCCAGACUCCUACGGGAGGCAGCAGUAGGGAAUAUUGGACAAUGGGCGAAAGCCUGAUCCAGCAAUGCCGCGUGUGUGAAGAAGGCCUGCGGGUUGUAAAGCACUUUCAGUUGGGAAGAAAAUCUUUAGGUUAAUAUCCUAAAGUCUUGACGUUACCAACAGAAGAAGCACCGGCUAACUCUGUGCCAGCAGCCGCGGUAAUACAGAGGGUGCGAGCGUUAAUCGGAAUUACUGGGCGUAAAGCGUGCGUAGGCGGUUAAGUCAGUCGGAUGUGAAAGCCCAAGGCUUAACCUUGGAACGGCAUUCGAUACUGCUUAGCUAGAGUACAGUAGAGGGAAGC
RNAcentral lists this ribosomal RNA (661 nucleotides) under uncultured bacterium. RNAcentral describes it as "bacterial SSU rRNA". It matches the Rfam family "Bacterial small subunit ribosomal RNA", at positions 8 to 662 of the family's 1533-position model. The record is from RNAcentral.